GGAGAGUUGUCAGAGUGGCUUAUUGUGCUGGUCUUGAAAACCAGUGGUCCUAAUAAGAUCCAGGAGUUCGAAUCUCUUACUCUCCG
RNAcentral lists this transfer RNA (86 nucleotides) under Crassvirales sp. RNAcentral's name for it is "tRNA-Ser". It matches the Rfam family "tRNA". From Rfam's summary of the family: Transfer RNA (tRNA) molecules are approximately 80 nucleotides in length. Their secondary structure includes four short double-helical elements and three loops (D, anti-codon, and T loops). The record is from RNAcentral. Lineage: Duplodnaviria; Heunggongvirae; Uroviricota; Caudoviricetes; Crassvirales.